UCUGCCCCCUCUUCUUGAGGACGCCGCCAUCAAAGCGAAGAAGAAACGGAAGUGGGAGGCAGAUGAAGCAGUGGUCUUGCUCAUGCCAGGCCAGGGGAGAGCAUCACCCCGUCCACGGAUGUAGAUGACAUGACCUUUAUGGCCUCCGUUGGAGCGGGGAACCCUUCGUCUAUGGGCAUCUCCUCCCACCCUGAUGACGCUGAGGCGAGCUCCAUUGCCCUCCCGGCCUCCCCUGGAGGGUGAUGCCACCACGACACCUGUUGCCCUAACGACCUUGUCGAUGGCCCCCGCGAAAGGACAUUGGAGGCGGCUGGGCUGUCUUCCACUCCCCCACAUUGGCAGUUCACGAGACCGUGUCGCCUCCUUCUGUGCCAGCUGAUCAUGCGACGCGUCACGAGGAGGUUUUGCCACCAAUCGCGCCCACUCCACCUCCUCCGGCGCCGGACGCCGGAGCCUCCCGGACGCGGUGGAGUGUAUUCACCGGGACGCUCUCUUCCCGAGCGUAUGUUCCGGGGAAGACAGUGAAGGCUGCUGCCCUUGCGGCGAAGGGGGCGCAUCGGCCUCUCAAAUCCUCCCCCUCCUACAUCUGCCAUACAUCUGCCAGGGUGACUCUCUCGGCCGUCCCGGUCGUCUUGCCUGCAGCCUCGACGUCCGCUGCUGCUGACGUGGGUGCAUCGGCGACCUCCAUUGUCCGGGAAGUGUUGGGAGCAUACUGUCGGCGUCCCUGUUCCAGAGAUACAGGAGUUCUUGCCUGACCUCGAGGUGGUUCCCGUGACACAGCUAUCACUGCUGGUGCCCCUCCCACGGUGGGUUCGACGGUUGUUUCCCUACCACCGCUGUUGCUGUCUUUGGGCGCUACGGCGGUGGUAGCUGCGGCGUCCGUCAUGACUCAUGCCUCGGGCUCCGUCGCUGCCACCUCCUGUUGUCUCCUCCUCGCGUGUGCUGUCAACGCCUCCCCUUUCGGCUUCUGGAGUGGCCAUGGAAACCUUCCCAUGUUCAUCCUUGAUGGCUCGAAGGGGGAGGAAAUGUAGGCGAAGGAGUGGCACCUGAUUGAGGCAGCUUUUGACCAGGCUGACAGGAGCCUAUAGUUGGUGGAGCGUUUUCUCCACUAUUUUGGUCUGGCAGUUUCAAUCGCUCGUUCGUCCAUGACACUUGACAUCAUCCCACACGGCCAGCUUGUUUAUUCUCGGUCAUCGUCUAGGAGGGAGGCGCUGCGGGCCACCUAGCAGGAGGUGGAGAGGCUGCGGCCGCAGAUCGCCCGCUGGGAGAAGAGGGACCACCAGCUCUCCAGUCUCCACCCUUCAAGCCAAGGCCGAGCGUCUCGAGAGUGAGGCAACAUGCCUUCACUCGGGGCGCGAUGCGGCGUGUAACGAUGUCAGACAACUUCGUGGGGAGAGGCCCAUCUUCGGUGAGAUCUACGCGAGGCGAGCUUGCAGGUCGAGGACGCCGAUGGUCCCUGCGGGCGACAAACGCUCGCUUGGAGGAGGUGAACUUGGACCUUCAGCGAGAGCAGGGGUGGUUGGAGGUAGUGUCACACCCGAUUUUAAAAAGUAAACUGAAUGCGAACCAUGUACGUGCCAGAAUCAGAAUUUUAUAGACACAUUGAUUACAUAACUGGACGUCAUCACACAGUGCUCAGAUAAUAACGUAAAAUGUAUUAAUUUGAUUACAUCAUGAUGUACGAGACAUCCACAUAGUCUUGAACAUAUAUCAAAGUACAAAAGUCUUGAACA
This is a long non-coding RNA of Zea mays, 1733 nucleotides long. RefSeq lists it as uncharacterized. The transcript has 3 exons. The record is from RefSeq and is a predicted model, not a curated record. Lineage: Eukaryota; Viridiplantae; Streptophyta; Magnoliopsida; Poales; Poaceae.